GCCGGUGUGGCGGAACGGUAGACGCGAUUGACUCAAAAUCAAUUAUCCGAAAGGGUGUGUGGGUUCGAUUCCCUCCACCGGCACCA
Molecule: transfer RNA, 86 nt
Filed under: Lysobacteraceae bacterium
Lineage: Bacteria; Pseudomonadati; Pseudomonadota; Gammaproteobacteria; Lysobacterales; Lysobacteraceae
Also listed under: 2 other names
Description: tRNA-Leu
Rfam family: tRNA
About the family: Transfer RNA (tRNA) molecules are approximately 80 nucleotides in length. Their secondary structure includes four short double-helical elements and three loops (D, anti-codon, and T loops).
Source: RNAcentral